GGGCCCAUAGCUCAGCGGUAGAGCUCCCGGCUCAUAACCGGUCGGUCCCAGGUUCGAAUCCUGGUGGGCCCACCA
This 75-nucleotide transfer RNA is filed under the name Candidatus Eiseniibacteriota bacterium. RNAcentral describes it as "tRNA-Met". It matches the Rfam family "tRNA". Rfam says of the family: Transfer RNA (tRNA) molecules are approximately 80 nucleotides in length. Their secondary structure includes four short double-helical elements and three loops (D, anti-codon, and T loops). Further hydrogen bonds mediate the characteristic L-shaped molecular structure. tRNAs have two regions of fundamental functional importance: the anti-codon, which is responsible for specific mRNA codon recognition, and the 3' end, to which the tRNAs corresponding amino acid is attached (by aminoacyl-tRNA synthetases). tRNAs cope with the degeneracy of the genetic code in two manners: having more than one tRNA (with a specific anti-codon) for a particular amino acid; and 'wobble' base-pairing, i.e. permitting non-standard base-pairing at the 3rd anti-codon position. Lineage: Bacteria; Candidatus Eiseniibacteriota. RNAcentral also lists the same sequence under 1 other name. The record is from RNAcentral.